UUCAAGCAGAGUGUUUGGAGCAAUCAAGGAC
RNAcentral lists this non-coding RNA (31 nucleotides) under Homo sapiens (human). The record is from RNAcentral. Lineage: Eukaryota; Metazoa; Chordata; Mammalia; Primates; Hominidae.